GGGCCCGCACAAGCGGUGGAGCAUGUGGUUUAAUUCGAUGCAACGCGAAGAACCUUACCUACUCUUGACAUCCAGAGAAGCCAGCGGAGACGCAGGUGUGCCUUCGGGAGCUCUGAGACAGGUGCUGCAUGGCUGUCGUCAGCUCGUGUUGUGAAAUGUUGGGUUAAGUCCCGCAACGAGCGCAACCCUUAUCCUUGUUUGCCAGCACGUAAUGGUGGGAACUCCAGGGAGACUGCCGGUGAUAAACCGGAGGAAGGUGGGGACGACGUCAAGUCAUCAUGGCCCUUACGAGUAGGGCUACACACGUGCUACAAUGGCGCAUACAGAGGGCAGCAAGCUAGCGAUAGUAAGCGAAUCCCAAAAAACGUUUCGUAGUCCGGAUUGGAGUCUGCAACUCGACUCCAUGAAGUCGGAAUCGCUAGUAAUCG
RNAcentral lists this ribosomal RNA (428 nucleotides) under uncultured bacterium. Its description in RNAcentral is "bacterial SSU rRNA". It matches the Rfam family "Bacterial small subunit ribosomal RNA", at positions 917 to 1344 of the family's 1533-position model. The record is from RNAcentral.